GAUGAACGCUGGCGGCGUGCCUAAUACAUGCAAGUCGAGCGAACAGACGAGGAGCUUGCUCCUCUGACGUUAGCGGCGGACGGGUGAGUAACACGUGGAUAACCUACCUAUAAGACUGGGAUAACUUCGGGAAACCGGAGCUAAUACCGGAUAAUAUAUUGCACCGCAUGGUUCAAUAGUGAAAGACGGUUUUGCUGUCACUUAUAGAUGGUUCCCGGCCGCAUUAGCUAGUUGGUAAGCUAACGGCUUACCACGGCAACGAUGCGUAGCCGACCUGAGAGGGUGAUCGGCCACCCUGGAGCUUGGCCACGGUCAAGACUCCUACGGGAGGCCGCAGUAGGGAAUCUUCCGCAAUGGGCGAAAGCUUGGCGGAGCAACGCGGCGUGAGUGAUGAAGAUCUUCGGAUCGUAAAACUCUGUUAUUAGGGAAGAACAAAUGUGUAAGUAACUAUGCACGUAUUGACGGUACCUAAUCAGAAAGCCCCGGCUAACUACGUG
This 497-nucleotide ribosomal RNA is filed under the name uncultured bacterium. Its description in RNAcentral is "partial 16S ribosomal RNA". It matches the Rfam family "Bacterial small subunit ribosomal RNA", at positions 28 to 507 of the family's 1533-position model. The record is from RNAcentral.